This is a long non-coding RNA of Medicago truncatula (barrel medic), 828 nucleotides long. RefSeq lists it as uncharacterized. The transcript is spliced from 2 exons. Lineage: Eukaryota; Viridiplantae; Streptophyta; Magnoliopsida; Fabales; Fabaceae. The record is from RefSeq and is a predicted model, not a curated record.
UACUUUGCUCUUCCUUUCUUCAUUCAAUUUUCUUACAAAAAUACUAAGUGUCUGAGUCAUCUGAGCCUGUGUAUUUUUCGUGUCCUGAUAGCUCGGGUACGCUUACCGCCGAGAAGAACAUGUUGUACUCUUGGGGAAUUGCGCAAUUUUGCGGAUAAUUCCUUAGUUCGGUGACAUAGUCACGCAGGUUUUACUUUUUAUUUUCUUGUUUUGCAGGUUGUGAUCCUUCAGUCAUCCGCGAACAACAAUCUAAGGAAUUAUGGCUGGAGACGAUUAUAAUUGUGCAAACAAGUUUGCCUGCUAAAGGAGUCAGGGAUUGCAAUGUCUUUGUGACUGCACUGAAUGGAUAAAUAGGACUUGAAACAGUGCAAUCUAUGUUGUGGAAUUCAUCGGUAAUUCAAACCAUUCUUCUCUUAAACCAUUCACAAGAAUCAGGUUGUGAUCCUUCUGUCAUCCGCGAACAACAACUUUCAAAAACUCAUCAUACUUUUCCAUCUUCUCUUGAAACACAGCUGAUGCUUCCUCCAUGCUUAGUAUUUUUUGACCAGCAUCACCACCGUAAACCUUCAUCGGUCACAAAGAAAGUUAAUUAAUAAGAAAAUAAAUUCAAAACAGAAAAUAAAUUUAAAUGAAAACAAAAAUAAUUAAUGAUCAGCAUACCAUUGGAUUUGUCGCAAAGUUGAUUUGCGUCGGCAGAGGUAAAGUGAGCCUGUGCUAGGGUUUUGGAUGUGUUGAUGUUGAGUUUGUUGUGCCCUAAUUACUGGGUAACGAAAGAAACUAUUUUUCUUAUUUUGUUAGUAUUAAUUUAUUUAUUUAUUAUUAUAACAA